GCCCGGGUGGUGAAAUUGGUAGACACAACGGACUUAAAAUCCGUCGCAACUAAACAUUGCAUACCGGUUCGAUUCCGGUUCCGGGCACCA
RNAcentral lists this transfer RNA (90 nucleotides) under Gallionellales bacterium CG_4_8_14_3_um_filter_54_18. Its description in RNAcentral is "tRNA-Leu". It matches the Rfam family "tRNA". Rfam says of the family: Transfer RNA (tRNA) molecules are approximately 80 nucleotides in length. Their secondary structure includes four short double-helical elements and three loops (D, anti-codon, and T loops). Further hydrogen bonds mediate the characteristic L-shaped molecular structure. tRNAs have two regions of fundamental functional importance: the anti-codon, which is responsible for specific mRNA codon recognition, and the 3' end, to which the tRNAs corresponding amino acid is attached (by aminoacyl-tRNA synthetases). tRNAs cope with the degeneracy of the genetic code in two manners: having more than one tRNA (with a specific anti-codon) for a particular amino acid; and 'wobble' base-pairing, i.e. permitting non-standard base-pairing at the 3rd anti-codon position. The record is from RNAcentral. RNAcentral also lists the same sequence under 1 other name. Lineage: Bacteria; Pseudomonadati; Pseudomonadota; Betaproteobacteria; Nitrosomonadales.